CUGCCUGCUGCAUAGCUGCUACUUCUGCUGGUUCUCUUCCUGCUCACACUCCUCCGGAGCAGUUUGGGAGAAGAACGCUAGUUUCUGUGAAAAGCUAAGGACACUGGUCUCUGAGGCGAAGAUGCCAUGUGGAUCCUCAUGUCUGCUUCUGCACACUGUGCACAAUGCACUGCGUCAGGGAUGUGCAGGCCUGGAUCCGAGCCUGGAGGAGGAGCCCGAGCGACAAGAAGAGUUCUCUGCCUUCCAAGCUCCUCCCACCACAAGCCCACCGCAGGGACCCGGGCCCAGGGCUGUGCGCUCAGCAGCGGAGCAGCUGCGUGUCGCUCGGGCCCUGGGCCCAGACCGCAGCCCAGGGAGCUGUGCCUGAGUCCGGAUGCCACACCACUCGCAGCGCUGUGCUUAGCUAUCCAUGCGUUUCUGUUGUGCUGCUGGGGAUUGAGCUUGGAACUGUACCGCAAAAGGGAACUUUAAAAGCUAGAUGCUUUGUUCUUUUAGAGAUAAGCGGCGCCUCCAGAUCUCCCCAAGAGCACAUGGCCGACACCCCGUCCUGUCCUCAGCCCGGGUGAACAGCAGAAGGACCUGGCUCCUCCCGUGCACACACAGCGGGAAGACCCACAACAGAACGGCUCUCAUUUGGAGAAAUGGCGAGCUCCGGCACUUCCCCUGAGGAAGCUAACUGGAACUGUCGCAGCACGGGGCUCCCGCUCUUUGCUUCUCAAUUGAGCCGACUUAUGGGCUGUCAGCGUCCCGAGGAUUUCCAGUGUGGAAGGAAAGGAGCGGAAUUUAACCAAGAAAAUGCUGAUCCGGACCGUGGGUGCCUUCAGCCGGGUCCUGGGAGUUGCAGUCCAUUUUAAAUUCUGAUUUCCUUGUCUCUUUUCCUCCUGUCUUCUAUCUUCUGUCCUCCCUGGGUGAGCCAGAGGGGGUUGCUCUUCCCUUGGUCUCCCUGCCUCUCAGCCCAACCUCCAGCACAUCUGAGUGUGUCUCCUUGAAACAGGUCAUGGGACCUUUCGGGGACUGACUGGAAACCAAAGAAUCCAGAAUCAUUUCCCUGGUAUGCAGAGAACAGAAGAGAACUGGAAAUGUUUUAAAAUUUUGUAAUAAUGUUGGAGAGUGACUGUAAUGAUUAUUCUCCUGAUUCACCCAAAUAUUUAUAUUCCAGUGAAAAAAAUGGAGACUUUCAAGCAUGUGCUCAGGGCUGGGGAUGAAGCUCUGUCAGUGGUAGAGCAUUUGCCCGGCGCGUGUGAAACCAUGGGUUCCACUCCCAGGUCCAGUGGAUUAGAUACAAGUGCCCUCAAAGUCCUGAGCGUGGAAGGUGACUGGGAGAAGGACACUGUAAUCAUCAGCGCACACAUCCCUCCGUGAGCCCAGGAGAUGACUGUGCCAGGAAGCGGGCCUGGUUGAAGGUCACUGGGGUGUGACCCGGGAGGGUGAUUCUUGUCCUGGGUUCUCUCUUUUCUCUCUGGUUCCUGGCCGACAUGGGGUGAACUGCUGUCCUCCACCAGGCCCUUCUGCCAUCAUUUUCUGCCCUGGACCACCCAACCAGGGACUGACCAGGGACUAACACCAGGGACUGACACCCUGCAACCUUAAG
This is a long non-coding RNA of Heterocephalus glaber (naked mole-rat), 1591 nucleotides long. The record is from Ensembl. Lineage: Eukaryota; Metazoa; Chordata; Mammalia; Rodentia; Bathyergidae.